This 466-nucleotide ribosomal RNA is filed under the name uncultured bacterium. RNAcentral's name for it is "partial 16S ribosomal RNA". It matches the Rfam family "Bacterial small subunit ribosomal RNA", at positions 28 to 507 of the family's 1533-position model. The record is from RNAcentral.
GACGAACGCUGGCGGUGUGCUUAACACAUGCAAGUCGAACGGUAAGGCCCUUUCGGGGGUACACGAGUGGCGAACGGGUGAGUAACACGUGAGUAACCUGCCCUCAUCUCUGGGAUAACAGUCGGAAACGGUUGCUAAUACUGGAUAUGAGCUUGCAAGGCAUCUUGUGGGUUGGAAAGAUUUUUUUGGUUGGGGAUGGACUCGCGGCCUAUCAGCUUGUUGGUGAGGUAGUGGCUCACCAAGGCUUCGACGGGUAGCCGGCCUGAGAGGGCGACCGGCCACAUUGGGACUGAGAUACGGCCCAAACUCCUACGGGAGGCAGCAGUGGGGAAUAUUGCACAAUGGACGGAAGUCUGAUGCAGCAACGCCGCGUGCGGGAUGACGGCCUUCGGGUUGUAAACCGCUUUCAAUUGUGACGAAGCUUUUUGUGACGGUAGCAGUAGAAGAAGCACCAGCUAACUACGUG